RNAcentral lists this ribosomal RNA (513 nucleotides) under Triticum aestivum (bread wheat). Its description in RNAcentral is "partial small subunit ribosomal RNA". The record is from RNAcentral. Lineage: Eukaryota; Viridiplantae; Streptophyta; Magnoliopsida; Poales; Poaceae.
AUGAGAUACUACAUCACACAAAAUUUAACUCAACAGCAAAACGCUUCCGAUUAUUACAACAAGCAGGUACUAGUAUGUACAAGCAUCGACAUAAAAACACUCUCCACCCGGAAAAACUGCAACUUACAACAAGCGGCCCUACAAAGGUGCAUGACGAACACCAUAUCUCAAAGCACAGCAAAAAAGGAAACAGCUCUUCCUACAUUCCGAAAACGACUCCGCAGCCGACGAACACCACUCAGGAACAGGCUACAUACAGUUAGCAAGUCCUCCAUCACAGCGACGCUACUACCAGCAAGCUUAAAUAUACGUCCCUCUACGGAACCUACUCCUAUGCAGUUAGCGGUUGGAGGUCGCCCUCAGUCUUCUCAUGGCUCAGCGCGAGCAUACCUGACAAGUCCCAAGCAUCAAAUGAUUGGUCAGCAACAGAUUUUUGGUGUAAAUACAAGUCAAGGGGGGGCAAGAACAUACGACUUACAGCUUCUUGGUGUCCCCGGAUUUCGGCAGCUGUAG